ACUCUUGAGCAGUGGAUCACUCGGCUCACGGGUCGAUGAAGAAAGCAGCCAGCUGCGUGCAGAUUGAGCACUGAUUUUUCGAACUCGCAUUGCGGUCCCGGGUGCGAAAAAUCAGUGCUCAGUGUGCUCGCCUGACCCGGGACCUCGCCUGACUGAAGGUCG
RNAcentral lists this ribosomal RNA (162 nucleotides) under Stegodyphus mimosarum. Its description in RNAcentral is "5.8S ribosomal RNA". It matches the Rfam family "5.8S ribosomal RNA". Rfam says of the family: 5.8S ribosomal RNA (5.8S rRNA) is a component of the large subunit of the eukaryotic ribosome. Lineage: Eukaryota; Metazoa; Arthropoda; Arachnida; Araneae; Eresidae. The record is from Rfam by way of RNAcentral.